UGGGGAAUAUUGCGCAAUGGGGGAAACCCUGACGCAGCGACGCCGCGUGCGGGAUGAAGGCCUUCGGGUUGUAAACCGCUUUUGAUUGGGAGCAAGCUUUCGGGUGAGUGUACCUUUCGAAUAAGCGCCGGCUAACUACGUGCCAGCAGCCGCGGUAAUACGUAGGGCGCAAGCGUUAUCCGGAAUUAUUGGGCGUAAAGGGUACGUAGGCGGUUUUUUAAGUCAGGUGUCAAAGCGUGGAGCUUAACUCCAUUAAGCACUUGAAACUGAAAGACUUGAGUGAAGGAGAGGAAAGUGGAAUUCCUAGUGUAGCGGUGAAAUGCGUAGAUAUUAGGAGGAAUACCGGUGGCGAAGGCGACUUUCUGGACUUUUACUGACGCUCAGGUACGAAAGCGUGGGGAGCAAACAGG
RNAcentral lists this ribosomal RNA (410 nucleotides) under Verrucomicrobiota bacterium. RNAcentral describes it as "Verrucomicrobia bacterium partial 16S ribosomal RNA". It matches the Rfam family "Bacterial small subunit ribosomal RNA", at positions 355 to 776 of the family's 1533-position model. The record is from RNAcentral. Lineage: Bacteria; Pseudomonadati; Verrucomicrobiota.